This 1066-nucleotide ribosomal RNA is filed under the name Enterobacter sp. BIGb0383. Its description in RNAcentral is "bacterial LSU rRNA". It matches the Rfam family "Bacterial large subunit ribosomal RNA", at positions 146 to 1251 of the family's 2925-position model. The record is from RNAcentral. Lineage: Bacteria; Pseudomonadati; Pseudomonadota; Gammaproteobacteria; Enterobacterales; Enterobacteriaceae.
CACUAUCGUUAAGUGAAUACAUAGCUUAACGAAGCGAACCGGGGGAACUGAAACAUCUAAGUACCCCGAGGAAAAGAAAUCAACCGAGAUUCCCCCAGUAGCGGCGAGCGAACGGGGAACAGCCCAGAGUCUGAAUCAGCGCGUGUGUUAGUGGAACGGUCUGGAAAGUCCGACGGUACAGAGUGAUAGUCUCGUACACUAAAAUGCACACGUUGUGAACUCGAAGAGUAGGGCGGGACACGUGGUAUCCUGUCUGAAUAUGGGGGGACCAUCCUCCAAGGCUAAAUACUCCUGACUGACCGAUAGUGAACCAGUACCGUGAGGGAAAGGCGAAAAGAACCCCGGCGAGGGGAGUGAAACAGAACCUGAAACCGUGUACGUACAAGCAGUGGGAGCCUCUUUUAUGGGGUGACUGCGUACCUUUUGUAUAAUGGGUCAGCGACUUAUAUUCUGUAGCAAGGUUAACCGUAUAGGGGAGCCGAAGGGAAACCGAGUCUUAACUGGGCGUUAAGUUGCAGGGUAUAGACCCGAAACCCGGUGAUCUAGCCAUGGGCAGGUUGAAGGUUGGGUAACACUAACUGGAGGACCGAACCGACUAAUGUUGAAAAAUUAGCGGAUGACUUGUGGCUGGGGGUGAAAGGCCAAUCAAACCGGGAGAUAGCUGGUUCUCCCCGAAAGCUAUUUAGGUAGCGCCUCGUGAACUCAUCUUCGGGGGUAGAGCACUGUUUCGGCUAGGGGGUCAUCCCGACUUACCAACCCGAUGCAAACUACGAAUACCGAAGAAUGUUAUCACGGGAGACACACGGCGGGUGCUAACGUCCGUCGUGAAGAGGGAAACAACCCAGACCGCCAGCUAAGGUCCCAAAGUCAUGGUUAAGUGGGAAACGAUGUGGGAAGGCACAGACAGCCAGGAUGUUGGCUUAGAAGCAGCCAUCAUUUAAAGAAAGCGUAAUAGCUCACUGGUCGAGUCGGCCUGCGCGGAAGAUGUAACGGGGCUAAACCAUGCACCGAAGCUGCGGCAGCGACGCUUAUGCGUUGUUGGGUAGGGGAGCGUUCUGUAAGCCGU